RNAcentral lists this small RNA (541 nucleotides) under Oryza sativa Japonica Group (Japanese rice). Its description in RNAcentral is "sRNA Os01g0618601". The record is from RNAcentral. Lineage: Eukaryota; Viridiplantae; Streptophyta; Magnoliopsida; Poales; Poaceae.
CCCAUUUUUCGAAGAAUGAGUUUGGGUAUGGCAGGCGGAAUUGCAAGACCCAUGCUCUGGCUGAACUCUUCUGCGAGCCUAACAAGUCUGGAUUUGUCUCGACUAAUAGCCUUGUUUGAGUUGUAGUACCCUAGCCAUGCCUGGUAGGCUGAUUCCUUGCUCUUUGUCUCCACUCUUCCGAUACAUAAUACUUACUCCUGUCUGAAUGCUCGAAUCAAUUGUAGGUACCACAGCUUGUGAUACAGACAAAUCCUGAACGCUAUUCAGAAAGUAUGUUUCCCAGGGAGCCAACAGUAAGAGACCUAGCCCAUCUUUGCCUUUCCGUCCAGUUCUACCAAGUCUAUGUAUAUACUAUGUAAUCAUGCGACCCACCUGUAUGACAAGGGUGACAUCAGGAUAAUCAACACCACGAGCAGAUACAUCAGAACUCACUAAUAUCAGACCCUUUGAUUUCCUAAAUUCAUCUGAGACCUUAGUUCUUGCUGAUUGCGACUUUCUCGAAUGGAUCUCUCUUAUAUUCAGUUUCAGCUGGGAAAGAACU